GGCGGGGCAGUUCGGUCGGCCCAGCAAAGUCCUGUUCCGCUUCUGCGGCUUGCUCGCACCGAAUCGGGCUCUCCGAGCUACUGAAAAUCAUCGUGUCGAUGGUUCGAUUCCGUCCCUGGCCACCA
This 125-nucleotide transfer RNA is filed under the name Gammaproteobacteria bacterium. RNAcentral describes it as "tRNA-OTHER". Lineage: Bacteria; Pseudomonadati; Pseudomonadota; Gammaproteobacteria. The record is from RNAcentral.